UACGUAGGUGACAAGCGUUGUCCGGAUUUACUGGGCGUAAAGAGCGCGCAGGCGGUCGUUCAAGUCGAGUGUGAAAGCCCCCGGCUCAACUGGGGAGGGUCAUUCGAUACUGAUCGACUCGAAGGCAGGAAAGGGAAGUGGAAUUCCCGGUGUAGUGGUGAAAUGCGUAGAUAUCGGGAGGAACACCAGUGGCGAAGGCGACUUCCUGGCCUGUUCUUGACGCUGAGGCGCGAAAGCUAGGGGAGCAAACGGG
RNAcentral lists this ribosomal RNA (253 nucleotides) under uncultured bacterium. Its description in RNAcentral is "partial 16S ribosomal RNA". It matches the Rfam family "Bacterial small subunit ribosomal RNA", at positions 524 to 776 of the family's 1533-position model. The record is from RNAcentral.